AUUGAACGCUGGCGGCAGGCCUAACACAUGCAAGUCGAGCGAGCGGCGGACGGGAGAGUAAUGUAUGGGGACUGCCCGAUAGAGGGGGAUAACUACUGGAAACGGUGGCUAAUACCGCAUACUAUCGGAUAACCCAUAUGGGAUUAGCUAGUAGGUGGGGUAAAGGCUCACGUAGGCGACGAUCUCUAGCGGGUCUGAGAGGAUGAUAAGUCACUCAGGGACUAGGACACGGCCCUUGCUCGUACGGAGGCAGCAGUGGGGACUAUUGCACAAUGGGAGAAAGCCUGAUGCAGCCAUGCCGCGUGUAUGAAGAAGGCCUUAGGGUUGUAAAGUACUUUCAGCGGGGAGGCGUUACCCGCAGAAGAAGCACCGGCUAACUUCGUGCCAGCAGCGGCGGUAAUUC
RNAcentral lists this ribosomal RNA (403 nucleotides) under uncultured bacterium. RNAcentral describes it as "partial 16S ribosomal RNA". It matches the Rfam family "Bacterial small subunit ribosomal RNA", at positions 30 to 526 of the family's 1533-position model. The record is from RNAcentral.